UUUUUUGCGGGCGCGCGGGGCGCGGGCCGGGCGGCGGGGGCGGUCUUUGGUCAUUUAGAGGAAGUAAAAGUCGUAACAAGGUUUCCGUAGGUGAACCUGCGGAAGGAUCAUUAAAGAAUAAUUCUUGAUCCGACCAAAGAAAGGAGGGAGAGCUGUAGCUGGCCCUAGGCACGUGCACGCUUUCUUUCUGGACUUUGGUCGUAUGGGCGCGGAGGGUCAACCCUCUGCGUCUUCAUAUGCCCCUCUUCGUGUAGAAAGUCUUUGAAUGUUUUUACUAUCAUCGAGUCGCGACUUCCAGGAGACGCGAUUCUUUGAGACAAAAGUUAUUACAACUUUCAGCAAUGGAUCUCUUGGCUCUCGCAUCGAUGAAGAACGCAGCGAAUAGCGAUAUGUAAUGUGAAUUGCAGAUCUACAGUGAAUCAUCGAAUCUUUGAACGCACCUUGCGCUCCUCGGUGUUCCGAGGAGCAUGCCUGUUUGAGCGUCAGUAAAUUCUCAACUCCUCUCGAUCGACUUCGAGUGGAGCUUGGAUGGUGGGGGCUGCCGGAGACCUGAAUAUUCGUGUUCGGGACUCGGGCUCCUCUGAAAUGUAUUGGCUUGCGGUCUGUUUUCGACUUUGCAUGACAAGGCUUUUGGCGUGAUAAUGAUCGCCGCUCGCCGAAGUGCAUGAAUGAAACCGUGCCGUGCCUCUAAUCCGUCGAUGCCUCUAUGGGGCGUCUUCUUGGUCCAUUGACUCAAUCAGGUAGGACUACUCUAUUU
Molecule: unclassified non-coding RNA, 757 nt
Filed under: uncultured fungus
Lineage: Eukaryota; Fungi
Description: partial contains 18S rRNA, ITS1, 5.8S rRNA, ITS2 and 28S RNA
Rfam family: 5.8S ribosomal RNA (bases 331-485)
Source: RNAcentral